This is a long non-coding RNA of Chanos chanos (milkfish), 922 nucleotides long. RefSeq lists it as uncharacterized. The transcript is spliced from 3 exons. NCBI's taxonomy places the organism in Eukaryota, Metazoa, Chordata, Actinopteri, Gonorynchiformes, Chanidae. The record is from RefSeq and is a predicted model, not a curated record.
AUGAGGAAUGUAGUGACCCUGGCCCCUCAACUACACUAAAAAAAAGGGUUUUCAGUGGCAGUUCAUUUUACUGAAGAAAAUUACGCCAAUACAGCGCAAAUACAUUGAUUUUCUCUCUGAACGUGAAUGUUUAGUGUUUUAUCAACUUAGAGAGGUUAGACUUAAACUAUAUGUGAUUACUUGGUGUAGAAACAGCUUAAUUCAAUAACUUCACCUACAUUCAGUCUACUUCAUGCGAUUAAAUGAGCAUCCGAAUAUGAUAAAACAACGUGUAACACGCGGUGAAAAGAGCAACGGACGACCGGGAAGCGGGGCUUUUCAGAUUUGGAACUCGGAGAACACACAACUGGUCUCGGAGAGCACAAGUACUGAUCAUGCUCCUCAGUGCAUGAGGUGAAGAAACAAUGGCAACAGUGAUGGAGACAAGUGGAUUGGACUUUUCGUUUUUAUAAAAUUCUUAUGUAGGGUACUUCUUGUGAGAUUCUUUUUUUUUCUUUCUGGAAAAUUCAGUGUUGGUAAUGAUCUUGCUUUUUGUAAUAACACCCUGAUUGUGUUGUAUGUUAGAGGUAUUACAUUUUCUUGCACUGUUAAAUGCUGCAGUUUUCAUUCUGUGUUCAUGUUCUUCAUUCUCAUUCUCUUCUUCAUUCGCACAUGUAAAGAGAAAAAAAAUUGAGAAGAAACUUCACAUUUUACAAUAUUUCAGAGGAAAUAUUAAGCAGAAUGGAUUAGGCAGGCCUUCUUUUUGAUUUAUAUUUUGAAUUUAUAUUUUGUCUUUCAACAUAGGAAGUUAAACAAUUCUUAUGUAUGAUGUGCCUUAGUUAAGGUUAUCUUUUUUUCUAAAAGAAUCCUGCUCCAUUCCUGAAAUGUGAGCUGCGUUGUCUGAAGUGUUUGAGAUUUUAAAUAUAUGUUUUUCCCAAAUACA